CAAGGACUCAAUUCACAUAUCUGAUCAUACCUGGAGUCCAGACUUUCUCCUGAUGCCUGACCCCUUUGCCAUUAGGUCGGCUCCGUAUGACUGAGUUCUAGCCAGUGAGGUAUGGGCAGAAGUGAUGUGUACCAAUUGCGAGCUCGACUUUUGAAAUCAUCCCACGUGAUCCUCCUGCCAUCUACCAGCCAUCCUUUUUGAUCUUGAAGGUCUUAUGCCUCAGAUUGUGUAACUACAGGAUGAAGGAAGGCCACUCAACCCACACUUGGACAUGAUGUCACAGUGUUUGGACACCGCAUGAACAUGCCAAUUUCCUGUGUUGUAAUAUUUUUAUGCACUUUAAGAAGACCACCAGAAACAGCAGAGUGAGUGAAUGACUGAGGCGCAUAUUGGACAAAAAUCACUUAUCCAAGACCACGUUACUACAACCCCAGGGCACAGAAGCUAAGUCUUCCUAUUGUACUGAACUCAGUUGACUGGAAUUUGUUCAGGAAAGCAUGAAGUCAAAUGGAAGCUAGUCCGUGACUGGAUUCAUCUUUUGGUAAAA
RNAcentral lists this long non-coding RNA (547 nucleotides) under Homo sapiens (human). Its description in RNAcentral is "non-protein coding LINC01811:28". The record is from RNAcentral. Lineage: Eukaryota; Metazoa; Chordata; Mammalia; Primates; Hominidae.